UCCUGGUGGCUCAGACGGUAAAGCGUCUGCCUGCAAUGUAGGAGACUGGGGUUCAAUUCCUGAGUCAGGAA
This 71-nucleotide transfer RNA is filed under the name Ovis aries (sheep). It matches the Rfam family "tRNA". Rfam says of the family: Transfer RNA (tRNA) molecules are approximately 80 nucleotides in length. Their secondary structure includes four short double-helical elements and three loops (D, anti-codon, and T loops). Lineage: Eukaryota; Metazoa; Chordata; Mammalia; Artiodactyla; Bovidae. The record is from Rfam by way of RNAcentral.